UACGUAGGGGGCAAGCGUUGUCCGGAAUUAUUGGGCGUAAAGCGCGCGUAGGCGGACCUGCAAGUCGGAGGUGAAAGCCCGAGGCUCAACCUCGGAACUGCCUUCGAUACUGCGGGUCUCGAGUCCGGGAGAGGUGAGUGGAAUUCCUAGUGUAGAGGUGAAAUUCGUAGAUAUUAGGAAGAACACCAGUGGCGAAGGCGGCUCACUGGCCCGGUACUGACGCUGAGGCGCGAAAGCGUGGGGAGCAAACAGG
This 253-nucleotide ribosomal RNA is filed under the name uncultured bacterium. RNAcentral's name for it is "partial 16S ribosomal RNA". It matches the Rfam family "Bacterial small subunit ribosomal RNA", at positions 524 to 776 of the family's 1533-position model. The record is from RNAcentral.